This 995-nucleotide long non-coding RNA is filed under the name Homo sapiens (human). Its description in RNAcentral is "non-protein coding LINC00385:1". The record is from RNAcentral. Lineage: Eukaryota; Metazoa; Chordata; Mammalia; Primates; Hominidae.
AGAGAGGAAACGUUCUACUGCAAGCCGAGCGUGGGGACCGAGGGUCGGCGUCACAGUGAGAGAGCCAUGAUGGAGGACGGGGUCACCCUGCUUGCCCAACGCGGGGAGCUCCGUCAUACAGAACCCCAAAAACCACCUGACCUCCAGAUUCUCUCUCGUCCAGUGGAGAUUCUCCUGCCCGAAGGCAGGCGCUCUCCAAGGUCCCUCUCCCCAGAAGAGCCACGAUCCCAGGAAGCCGGCUUGUGCAGAGGAAAGAACCGCACCUCGUUGUCAGAACAACCCCAGCUCUGCCACCUACACCUUGUGUGACCUUGGGCAAGUCAGAGAAACUUCUCAGAUGCACAAUCUCGUCACGCUCCUAGUUUCCAAGCCCACACACCUGAGGGUCAAUGUCCCUUAUUGCACCCCCACCCCAUACCGACUCCAUCAGCAAGUCCUGUUUGUUCUUGCCCCAAGUAUCUCUCCUGUCUGCCCAUUCCCUGCAUCUCCCCCGUCACCACCCCGGGCCAGUCCCCGUUACCCGCACCUGGAGGUCUGCACCAGCCCCACCUGCACUCCGGCGUCCACUCUCGCCCCCAUUGCUGUGAUCUCCACACAACCACGAGCGGCCUUGAGAGCGCAGCGAGGCCGUGAGGCUGCGCAGAGCCCCUCAGUCAGCAGGACCGCGCUCACGGUUCAGUGGGCCGUCUGCUAGAGGCUUUCCGCAGUUCAUUCCUUCUCCCCACACAACUCUGAAGGUACGAUGAUGUACAAAAGAGGAAGCAAAGCACUGAACACAGAACCUGGCAAGCUGUAAUCAUCUGGCACAUCUGAACUGUCUGGGUGGUGUCUCCGCUGCUACCGCCUCAGUGCAGGUUUCCAUCAUCUGUUGCCUGUUGACCAUGAAACUCCCAACUCAAUCCUCUCACUCCAGCCUUCCUCAAACCCCAGUGUCUUCCACAUACUAGGACCAGAGUGAUCCUCUGAACAUAAAACUGAUUGAUAACAGAUCAUCC